RNAcentral lists this unclassified non-coding RNA (390 nucleotides) under soil metagenome. RNAcentral's name for it is "partial contains 5.8S ribosomal RNA, internal transcribed spacer 2, and large subunit ribosomal RNA". The stretch from base 1 to 122 matches the Rfam family "5.8S ribosomal RNA", at positions 35 to 154 of the family's 154-position model. The record is from RNAcentral.
GAUGAAGAACGCAGCGAAAUGCGAUACUUGGUGUGAAUUGCAGAAUCCCGUGAACCAUCGAGUCUUUGAACGCAAGUUGCGCCCGAAGCCAUUAGGCCGAGGGCACGCCUGCCUGGGCGUCACACGUCGUUGCCCCCCCAUCUACUCCUUCGGGAUUGCGGGGGGCGGAUGAUGGCCUCCCGUGCGCCUCGUCGCGCGGUUGGCAUAAAUACCAAGUCCUCGGCGACGCACGCCACGACAAUCGGUGGUUGCGAAACCUCGGUUGCCCGUCGUGUGCGGUCGUCGCGCAUCGAGGGCUCGAAAAAAUUGCCGGGCUCCGGCUCGGCUUUCAACGCGACCCCAGGUCAGGCGGGGUUACCCGCUGAAUUUAAGCAUAUCAUAAGCGGAGGA